AUGGCAAAGAAAGAUGCAGAGUCUGAGAAGCUUAAUCAGAAGUAUGAACUGCUGGUGAACCUGAAAAGAGCCCAAGCAACAGUCAUCCAGAACUUGAAGUUGAAGAAUAUGACAGACAAGCAAUUGCUUAGUGAAGCUAAGAUGAACUUGGAGUUGAAGAAUGCAGAGCUCACAAAGUCUGAGGAGAAGCUCACCCAAGAUAAGCUAGAGUUGAAGUUUCAGGUUGCUGAUUUGCUUAAGGGAAAGGAAAAGCAUGGUAAAGACAAGGGGCAACUAGAGCUUCAGAUUGCUGAGCUGAUGAAGGCAGAGGAGAAGCUGAAGGAGAAGAUCAAGGGGAUCUAG
This 342-nucleotide ribosomal RNA is filed under the name Triticum aestivum (bread wheat). RNAcentral's name for it is "partial small subunit ribosomal RNA". Lineage: Eukaryota; Viridiplantae; Streptophyta; Magnoliopsida; Poales; Poaceae. The record is from RNAcentral.